RNAcentral lists this ribosomal RNA (339 nucleotides) under Coptotermes elisae. Its description in RNAcentral is "partial 12S ribosomal RNA". Lineage: Eukaryota; Metazoa; Arthropoda; Insecta; Blattodea; Rhinotermitidae. The record is from RNAcentral.
UGCUUGAGUAGUACUAGGUAUGUUCUUGAAACUUAAAGAAUUUGGCGGUAUCUUAUUCCAUUCAGAGGAAUCUGCCUCGUUAUCGAUAGUCCGCGUUGGACCUUGCUUAGUUGUUAUGGUUUGUAUACCGCCGUUUAUUGAUUAUUCUUUUAGGGUUUGUUAAUUUUCUGGUUUCUCUAUUUUGAUUUAUUUCAGGUCAAGGUGCAGCUUGUUUCUAAGUGUUAUUGGUGGAUUACAUUGUUCUUUGUUGUUUGGAUUGCUGGUUGAAUUGUUGGUAUGAAAUUGGAUUUGAUUGUAAUGUCUUGAAGAUUGUUUUCGUGAUAUGGGUUCUAAGAUAUG